Molecule: long non-coding RNA, 200 nt
Filed under: Lathyrus oleraceus (garden pea)
Lineage: Eukaryota; Viridiplantae; Streptophyta; Magnoliopsida; Fabales; Fabaceae
Description: Pisum sativum (pea) long non-coding RNA (PSAT_LNC023313)
Source: RNAcentral
UUUUUUAUUAGUUAGUAUCUAUUAUGUUCUUCAUAGCAUUUUUAAUUUUUUAAUUUUUUUCUAUUAGCAUCAGUAUUUGAUAUGUUUUCAAAAAAUGUUACAAAGUAUGGUAAUUUUCACUUGUGACUACACUACAACAAAUAACACUUUUUAUAACAAAACUUUCACUCCAGACAAUAGAAAAUUGAGUUAUAAAGUCA